ACAGUCACACAUUAGAUACCCGCGUAGUCCCAGCCCUAAACGAUGCGCGUUAGGUGUAUCGGUGACCACGAGUCACCGAGGUGCCGAAGGGAAACCGUGAAACGUGCCGCCUGGGAAGUACGGUCGCAAGGCUGAAACUUAAAGGAAUUGGCGGGGAGCACCACAACGGGUGGAGCCUGCGGUUUAAUUGGACUCAACGCCGGGAAGCUCACCGGAUAAGACAGCGGAAUGAUUGCCGGGCUGAAGACCCUGCAUGACCAGCUG
Molecule: ribosomal RNA, 264 nt
Filed under: uncultured archaeon
Lineage: Archaea
Description: partial 16S ribosomal RNA
Rfam family: Archaeal small subunit ribosomal RNA
Source: RNAcentral